CCGCGGCCCUCCUCUCCCGCGCUGGCAAGCAGGGACGGCCUCCGAGCAGCGCGCGGCUGGCGAGGAACGGAUCGAGGCGCGGGGGCCCCUGCUCGAGCACGUCGGCCUCCCCUGUUUGCGGCGCACGAGGGCCAUGGCCACGGCGACGCGCGCAUGGCCCGGAGCGGCCGCGGUGCGACCACGGCGGGGCGGCCGCGGCGGCCUGGGGGACCGCCGCCCACCUCGCGCCCUGCGCUGGUGCUCCUCCACCCCCUCCCUCGCCGGCGCUCCUCCACCCCUCCCAUCGCCGGCGCCCAUUCUCCCCCUCCCUCGCUCGAUCACAGGCCGGCGGCGGGCCUCGCAGCGGCACAGUGGAGCAGGGGCCCCGCCCCCGACGAGAUCCAGCCCAGGCCGGCGGCCAUGGCGCGGCGGCACCCCGCCGGCUGGAUCCACGCGGGUCCAGGCGUGCGGGCGGCCUCCUCCCUCCGUGCGGCCUCGACAGCCCCUUCCCCUCUCAUCCCUUCCCCAGACCUCCCACUGCCGCCGCCCGCCCCCUUCCCCGCACCGCUGCCGCCGUCCACGCCCUCCCCCCACCGCCUUCCGCGCGGCUCGCUGCCGGUAGCCCCGCCGCUUCCACCGGCCACCUCAGCCUGCCGUCCCUGCCCUCCACACCUUGACGCGCCACGGGACAACCCCGCCAGCAGCACCACCGCUGGCCGACCCUCCAUCCGAGGCGCCGUGAGCUGGUCCCUCCAUCCCCGCCGCCGCCCAGAGCCCUGAUCUGCUGCGCGAGCGCGGUGAACUUCCCGCUGCCUUGACGCGGCUCUCGGUGCGAGGCGGAGCGGGGCAAUCGGUCGUGGCACGGAGGCCGCGGCGCAAAACGGCGCUCGGAGAUACGGCGCACGGCGGCCGCGUCGAGAGCGCCGAUAGGAGAUGCAGCGCACGGUCGGCCUGCAGCCGCCGGCAAGCAGAAGGCCUGGAGUUGUCCACGGCGGCGCGACGCCUAGGGGUACACGCGGGCAGAGGUUUUGGAUGCGGCGUCGGCCGCCGAGGAGCCGCGCGGGGCCGCAGCGAUUCGAUGCUUGGCCGCGUCCUGGUGCAGCGAUGGCUUCCACCAUGCGCGGGUUCAGGCAAGAACGGCGCUACGUCUCUCGGCUCCUUCACGAUGCUCGGACCGCCUCGUGGACAAAGGGGUUGGUUCAAUCAUUAUUAGAUGAUAUUCCAGCGAUUACUCAAUAUAUAUGAUUGUAGAGAGUAAUGACAAUCUCUGCUUAAAGAUAAUGUGCUCCAUCGACCUUUGAUAUCAUAUAGCAUGUUACUUUAUAUACUUCAAUAAAUAUCCAUUAUAUGGUUGCAAUGGUUGUAUUUGUUUAUUUAUUUACCUUUGGUCAGAUUGAGGUUUGGAACUAUCACUUUGCUUAUUUCAUAUGUCUACUGAAUUAACCUGGCUUUGAAGCCUGAUGUCCCUCUAUAUUUUGAAUUUAAUAGUUUUGCUUUUUAUUCCAAGUUUGGAUGCUAUUUUUUCAUAAGCUUAUUAAAUAUUAGUUGGUGAGAUGCUCUAUUAUCACAAGUGUCUUCCCAUUUUGUAAAUAUGUUCCCUUUUGGAUUUUAACUUUUAGUUUCUCAACUAAACACUGAAAACAAUAUCUGCACUCUUCACAAAAUUUGAUUGCAGGAACAGGGUAGAAUUGAAGCUCUUUCUAUGCUUCCAAUAGCUUGACUGCAUCUUAUCUGGUGUCUUUUUUCUCGAACCAUCUUAUCUGGUGCUAAUUCAACAGAAGUCAUGUCUGCAAAUUUUGUCAGAGGCAGUUAGACUGCAUAGAAUGUUGACAAGGAUGCGGCUCCUCUCUUCCAGAAAGGUGUCAGAUUGUAUGAUGGCUUUGCCAAGCAGUCGGUCAGUUAUAAGAAGCUCCUGUUCAGAAUUACAGAGCAAGGAGGAUAUAAUUGGUUUCACAUUAGAAAAUAUCAGCUCCAUGAAGAUAUAAGUUCUACAGAUAUAAAUCCUCCAUACAAAAUUAUUCACUUAUGUAUUUGUUUUUAUUUGUGUGUGUGAUUAACAUAUCAACAUACAUCAUUCUUCUAUUAUAAUCUAUCGAAAACAUGCAAGAACCAGUUUGAAUUUGUAUCUAAAACCAAGUAGAUCCUUUAUUUAAAAAACAAGUAGAUCCAUAUAAAAUCAUUUUUAAUAACUAUUUUACUUUUGACUAUUUGUAAACAGUUGUGUAUAUGCGCGAAUGAACUUUAACUCCGAGAAAACCAUAAUAAUUACCUCUAAAAACUUUUAACUCCGAUCUUCCUGUUUCCAUUUUCCCCGUCGGAUCUUAUAAAAGAUAUAUACCAUUUUUACAUUCUCCUAUGCUUCAACGAUAAUUGUCUCUAAUAUUACAAAGAAAAGAUGCACGCGCAACGCUCGCACAAUCCACUAGUUUCUAUAUAACAAAGGAGCUGAGUUUCGAGCAAGACCACGACAUCCACGUCAGUCCAAAUUGUCUUGGCCGUUCGAUUUGCUAUCUACGAUGCCCACAACCCUGCCCGCUCCAGCUUUGCUUUGUUUUCGAGGUUUUCUUUUCACGCUGCCUUCUCAAUUUUUGUCAGGACCGAUUCCAUUUGUGUCAGGUCCACUGUGUCACCCGCGACGAGCCCGUCUUUCUCAUCCUGUUUCUUGGUUUCACACUGACUCCUGCCUCAACGAGUGCCGACCAUCGCGGGAAAAAUUCCACGGCGUCACCACUAUCCCCACCCACACACACUGCUGUCGCCCGCCCCCUCCACCCCGUGUCGCCAACGCCGCUCCUUCGGCCCGCGCUGCCGCUGCCCUCCGUGCGGCGAGGCGGAGCUCGGCCACGGUUCCUGGCGCGCGGUGGGCGGAGGCCGGCCUCCACGGCGGGCUGAUCUCGGCCUCGACCAGUCCCUCCCCGGCCCUUGGACCUUGCUCCUGGCGGCACGGCAGGAGGAAGAGCCCGGCGGCGGCAGCGGCCGAAUCCGCGGCCCUUCUCCUUCCGUCGCGUCGUGCUCCUCCGAUCGCGGCUCCUGCUCCGACUGGCCCUCUCCAGUGGCGGAUCGGGAGCUCGGGCUUCGCGGCCUCCCUCGUCGGCGCUCAAGCUCGGCUGGCCUCGACCUCCGCGGCGGCGAUGACGAGCUCCACCAGCCUCCCUCCUCACUCUUUCCUCCUCUGUCCUCCUCCCUUCAGCCGGCGGUUCCCGCUGGGCGUCAGGGCGUGCCUCCCUGACGCGCCCCGACCGCACGUCCUCGCCCACCUCCUCCCGACGAGGUGAAGCGGCAACGGCGGGACUCCACGAGGCCGGCGGCAGCGGUCUACUCCGUGGCCGGGGCGCUCCGUCCUUCCUAUCUUCCUGCACUGCCGCGUCCUCCUCGUCCACCCCCACCUCCACGCGAACAGUCCACCCCCACCUCCCUCUCUCUCUGCCAUGGCGCGUGGCCCCUCCGGCGAGGGCGGGCCGGAUCCGCGUCGCCCCUGCUCCCGCCGGCCAGGGCGGCGUGGCCGCGGCAGGGCGGCCCGCGAGCCGCACGGCGGAGCGGCCUCAGCGGGGCGACCUGCUCACGGCGCGGUGGGCCUCGAUGCCCACUCCUGGUCCCUUCUCCCAUGGCUCCCUCCUCGAGCUCGACCGGGGGUGGAGGAGGCCCGCCUACGCCGGCGCCUCUCCUCCCUCCCCUACAACAGAGGCGGCGGCGAGCAGGACCAUGGGAAGGAGGAGCAGGGGCGGCCGGCGAGCAGGCCCGGCGGCGGAUCCGAGCUCGGCUGCGGCGGAUCUGCGCGAAAUCGAGCUCAGCCUCCCCUUCCUCUACCUCUCCGGCGGCCGUCACCUCGCGGAUCCGACCUCGAGCUCCCUCCUCCCUUCGCGACGCGCGGAUCCGAUCCUGCUCCGCCGCUCGCUGCCCGCGCCUUGGUGCGCCGCCGUAAAAAUGUCGGCCGUGUAUCUUCCUCACCUGCAGAGCGGGACGCGGCAGGGCUGGCCCUGCUCCGGCCGGUCACAGACGGAGGCGUGGAGGCGGAAGAGCUGCAGGAGGCGCCUGCACCGCGCGCACCCGCCUGGCGUGGCCUUGCGCGCGUAGGCAGCGAAGUGCCACAUUAGCAGUCGCAGGCCGUCUUCCAUCGCGGACAUGGUCGUCGUCGUCCUCGACGGAGCAGCAGAGGUGAAGCCAUAUGUUCGAUAGUUGCGUCAGGCAACACUGACCAAUUAACCAUGCCCAGAUUUGUGUACAGCGAAGAAUAAAAGUAACCGCACAUGCCCUGACAAGAUGAUAAGGAGACCUACUUGCUGAAAAUAAGAAGACACAUUUAGGCUACUUGAAUUGCCUAAGCUUUUGCCAUGGGAAAGCAAAUUUGAUUUGUUUACAACUUUACUACUGUAUUCGAGUGUGAGGCUUCUUAUGGUUGGCUGGGUUCUAUUCUGCAUAUUGAUAGCAUUAUGUCUACAAGACUAGCUAUUGAGAAUGACUCUUACCGGCGAUUGAAAUCAGACUGCAUUUUCAGUUUGAUGGGGUGUCAUCAAAUCCAGAUAAUUUAGUAGUUGUCAUAGGUAAGUAGCAUCUUUACCUUCCUCUAAUUACUUUUUACCUUCUGUUUGUCCUGUAGUACAACAUUUAUGACACUUCACCUUCACAGUUUGCCAAUCAGAUUUUAUUUUCCCUUCCUUUAUAUCAAAUAUUUGUUUCUAAUUUAAUGUGUUCUUUAGAACUGGAAUAGAUCCUACAUAUCAUGACUUCAGGUCCGUUCUGCUGAUGCCACUACUUCCUCUGUUCUCCAUCCAGUAGUCACUAGGAUUUAAUGUUUGCAAUGUAAAACUUUGAGGAUUCCAAUAAAUGAGUGUCGUACAAUGAGACUUAUGCCAGAAGCAGGUAAACCUACUUAGUUAAAAAAAUGGUUACAAGCUAAUUCCAUUGUCUGUCACUUGAGGAUGGUGAGAGCAAGUCUUUACUUGCCAUUGAAAUUUUCGAAAAGCUUCAUACUGAAACUCCAACUGAAUAUAUGACCAUUGCUUUUUACUAUUUGCCACAUCGUUUUGUUUCGUUGUCAUCUCCAGUUGCAUAUUCCAAAUAUAUCUUCCAUGGACUGGAUUCUAUCUAUUUUGAUCCCAAGAUAAAGUUUGGAAGUGAACAUUACCAUUACCUUUAACUUGAAAUCCACACAGAGUAAACGGUUAUCAAUUAAUUGAAUUACGACCGCUCCACAUAAUGCAUUUAUAUUGUUUGAAAGGAUUGCGUAGUGUAUUGAUAUAUUUUCCAGUUUUUUUGCCCUCUCAUAAAUAGGAGCAAUUCAGAUGAGAGCUAAACAAACUAGAUAUGUCAUUCUGUACUUGGUGUUCUAUUAAGUAAUUUCUACUAUUUUUCUUCUUCCAAAAAGAAAACUGCUCUAUUCAAGUUAUUCCUUCAAAAUAUGCUUGGUGCAAAUAUUAAGAAAACUCCUGCUGGUGGUUCCCACAUUUUUAGCUAUUUUUAGCCUUGUUGAUUAAUCCUUCUUUCAUUAGCCUUAGUGAUAAAUGUCGGCCAAUUUUCCCAUACUUAACUUAAUUAGCAAUUAUAUUUUGGGAACAUGCAGCACAAGUUCCCAUACUUCUUUCACUAACCUUAGAUCUGCAGAAGCUCUCACACUGUCACUGGUAUGCAUCUCUGAAUAUUGAAGCUUGAAAUUCAAAACACCUCAUCAUUGCUUUAUUCUCGAUUCCCGCUUGAUUAGAUUAUUAAACUUAGAACAAGCAUGUAAGCAAUAUUGCAAUUCUGAAAUGACCUUGACGCCAUCUGAUAUCAUUGCAUAUUUGAAUUUUAAUUCACAAAAAUUUAAUCUGCUCAAAUAAAGGACUACAAACAAAAAUUAUAUGUGCAGAUUAGUUGUCAAUGAAUUUGAGAUCGCAUCGCUUACUUCAACGACCUAUAUCAACAUACAUUCUCGUUUAUGUGUAAAUUAGUUGUGUUUACCAAGGCACUAAGAACCUCACAUUGUUUUGACAAUCUGAUAGGGAACCAACUUAUGAGUGCAUAAAACAACCUGUUCUUCAAGAAGCAGAGGACAGCAAGAGCUGCGGACUCCUAAUCUGUGUCUUGAAUAUUUUAUCUGCGGACCAUCAGCACUAAAGGAUAAUAGUAUUGCUGCCAUUUAGGAUAGCAUUCCUGCUUGAAUGCUGUCUGGUCAAGUUAUGCCUACUCCUUGGAAGAUUCCAUAGAAACUAACGAAGCAAGGAAUCCUUUGAACAUUUCAAGAUAUCUUCCUUUGAUGGAUGGGAUGAUCUUGCAGUACCAACCAUAUCUAGAAGUGAUUUGCGAGCUUGAAGUGUAACCAAUAUUGCUUUUGGUGUGCCGUGGUCAUGCUGGAUAUAACCUUAUUCAUGCCUCUAGCUUCUCGGAACUCCUAUAUGUACCAUUAUUCCAUAUUGUACCUGCUGUUAUUGUUACCUGUGGGAUUCAUAUCGUUGCUAGCUAAUGAGCUGAUGAACCUUUCGUCGGUUGUCCUAAAUCUUUAAACCUCCAUAUUAGCUCCGACAUUUGCGGUUUAAAGUC
Molecule: long non-coding RNA, 6495 nt
Organism: Panicum virgatum (switchgrass)
Lineage: Eukaryota; Viridiplantae; Streptophyta; Magnoliopsida; Poales; Poaceae
Exons: 8
Source: RefSeq, a predicted model, not a curated record